GUCCUUAGUUACCAGCACGUUAUGGUGGGCACUCUAAGGAGGACUGCCGGUGGACAAACCGGAGGAAGGUGGGGAUGACGUCAAGUCAUCAUGACCCUUACGGCCUGGGCUACACACGUGCUACAAUGGUCGGUACAAAGGGUUGCCAAGCCGCGAGGUGGAGCUAAUCCCAUAAAACCGAUCGUAAUCCGGAUCGCAGUCUGCAACUCGACUGCGUGAAGUCGGAAUCGCUAGUAAUCGUGAAUCAGAAUGUCACGGUGAAUACGUUCCCGGGCCUU
Molecule: ribosomal RNA, 278 nt
Filed under: uncultured Pseudomonas sp.
Lineage: Bacteria; Pseudomonadati; Pseudomonadota; Gammaproteobacteria; Pseudomonadales; Pseudomonadaceae
Description: partial 16S ribosomal RNA
Rfam family: Bacterial small subunit ribosomal RNA
Source: RNAcentral